Molecule: long non-coding RNA, 1669 nt
Organism: Oncorhynchus tshawytscha (Chinook salmon)
Lineage: Eukaryota; Metazoa; Chordata; Actinopteri; Salmoniformes; Salmonidae
Source: Ensembl
UGACUUUAGUUUAGUAUCCAGUUAUAACACAUGACUUUAGUUUAGUAUCCAGUUAUAACACAUGACUUUAGUUUAGUAUCCAGUUAUAACACAUGAAUUGAGUUUAGUAUCCAGUUAUAACACAUGACUUUAGUUUAGUAUCCAGUUAUAACACAUGACUUUAGUUUAGUAUCCAGUUAUAACACAUGACUUUAGUUUAGUAUCCAGUUAUAACACAUGACUUGAGUUUAGUAUCCAGUUAUAACACAUGACUUGAGUUUAGUAUCCAGUUAUAACACAUGACUUUAGUUUAGUAUCCAGUUAUUACACAUGACUUUAGUUUAGUAUCCAGUUAUAACACAUGACUUUAGUUUAGUAUCCAGUUAUUACACAUGAAUUGAGUUUAGCAACAAAAGCACAUGUAUAGAACAUGUAUGGACAUGUGUUUCAGGGACUUCAGGAGAACAACACAACAGACAACAGACAACGGUUCUGCAGGUAGUGGAGAACAACACAACAGACAACACAGACAACGGUUCUGUAGGUAGUGGAGAACAACACAACAGACAACACAGACGGUUCUGCAGGUAGUGGAGAACAACACAACAGACAACACAGACAACGGUUCUGUAGGUAGUGGAGAACAACACAACAGACAACACAGACGGUUCUGCAGGUAGUGGAGAACAACACAACAGACAACACAGACAACGGUUCUGCAGGUAGUGGAGAACAACACAACAGACAACACAGACAACGGUUCUGCAGGUAGUGGAGAACAACACAACAGACAACACAGACAACGGUUCUGCAGGUAGUGGAGAACAACACAACAGACAACAGACAACGGUUCUGCAGGUAGUGGAGAACAACACAACAGACAACACAGACAACGGUUCUGUAGGUAGUGGAGAACAACACAACAGACAACACAGACAACGGUUCUGCAGGUACGACAUAUGAGUAGACAGUUUAAUAGAUCCUGUAUAUGCAAGCAUCAUAGCAUACCAGUGAUGAUACGGAAGGCAGUGGCAGGAAGAUCAGGUUAGAAACCUGCCCAGAUAAAUGGACUGAUUUGGUGUUCCUGUCUCCACUUGUCUCUUUAGUCUCUGCUAUUCCGAAAUGUCUGCAUGCUUUUCCAGCACUUUUUCAUGUCAACAUAGUUUAACACCAGAUUGCUGACUAACACCAAAAUGGUUAGUAUGGACAUAUUAGUCCUUGUGUGUAUCCUGUGGUCUGGGAAUUGGAGGGGUUAACACUUCCUGCCAAGCCACAUAUUUAAACUCUAUUCUUCAGUAGGUGCUACUCGAGAGCGGCGAGACUCAGAGCAAACAACUAGUAUUGUAAAGGGAUAAUCCCUAUGGAACACCUGCCAACAUCAUCUGUGUGCUUACAGUUGCUCAUAUUCCCUCUUUUUCUAAACGUGUUGGGAGAAUGACUCUUCAGUCACCGAUAUGUCACCGAUAUGACAUCACACUCUCCCUGGCGGCAGGGUAGCCUAGUGGUUAGAGCGUUGGACUAGUAACCGGAAGGUGGGUUCUGAUAUGCUAAAGAGAAGACCUGGCAACAUUCUCUAGUGGUUCUGAUAUGCUAAAGAGAACACCUGGCAACAUUCUCUAGUGGUUCUGAUAUGCUAAAGAGAACACCUGGCAACAUUCUCUAGUGGUUCUGAUAUGCUAAAGAGAACACC